UGAAGAAGCAAUUCCUUGUAGAAGCUGAUGGUCACAGAGCUGGAUCGAAUGGCAACGAAGAUGGUUCAAAGAGCAUCUAUGUGUGACUUAAAGGACUGCUGCCAGAGGGCAAUCAAUGCCUGCCUGGAUGAUUCAGUAAGACGAGGACUCAUUAGGGAUGCAGCAAUUCUACUGCUGCCUUCCAUUUUCAGAGAGGACUCAUCUUUUCUAUACACUCUACUGUAGGAGCCAAGCGUGCCUACUCCAGCAAUCAUGCUCCAUAACACACACGAGGGGAACCCUUUGCAGGCACAAAGGAUAACCCUAUACCUGGAUGGUAUACAGGUUUUGACUGAGGACAGCAGCAUGGACAAAUCAUAUGCUAUGAGUGCAUUAAUGUCACUCUAUAUUGUUUUUGCUGUCCAGUACCCAAAGGAACUGAGAAAAACUCUUAUUUUCAUUGAAAGAUUUGUGUUGGGGAUCAAGGACCACAGUGUUGUACCCAUUUCAGUGAAGAGACUAUACAACUGUGUCAGAAGUGGGGAGUAGUGAGUAGAUGUGUUGCAGCAUGGGAUUUCAUGCUUUAUGUUCUUGUUAAUGGUCAAAUUCCUGCUGCUGCCCUUUGUUUGUACAUAUUGAUAAAAAAAAAUAUCCCUUAUUUAAUACAUA
Molecule: long non-coding RNA, 648 nt
Organism: Nerophis lumbriciformis (worm pipefish)
Lineage: Eukaryota; Metazoa; Chordata; Actinopteri; Syngnathiformes; Syngnathidae
Source: RefSeq, a predicted model, not a curated record